CCUACGGGUGGCAGCAGUAAGGAAUAUUGGUCAAUGGACGCAAGUCUGAACCAGCCAUGCCGCGUGGAGGAUGAAGGUCCUCUGGAUUGUAAACUUCUUUUAUCUGGGAAGAAACCCAUCUUUUCUUGGGUGGUUGACGGUACCAGAUGAAUAAGCACCGGCUAACUCCGUGCCAGCAGCCGCGGUAAUACGGAGGGUGCAAGCGUUAUCCGGAUUCACUGGGUUUAAAGGGUGCGUAGGUGGGUUGGUAAGUCAGUGGUGAAAUCUCCAGGCUUAACUUGGAAACUGCCAUUGAUACUAUCAAUCUUGAAUACCGUGGAGGUCAGCGGAAUAUGUCAUGUAGCGGUGAAAUGCUUAGAUAUGACAUAGAACACCAAUUGCGAAGGCAGCUGGCUACACGAAUAUUGACACUGAUGCACGAAAGCGUGGGGAUCAAACAG
Molecule: ribosomal RNA, 440 nt
Filed under: uncultured bacterium
Lineage: Bacteria
Description: bacterial SSU rRNA
Rfam family: Bacterial small subunit ribosomal RNA
Source: RNAcentral